This 547-nucleotide ribosomal RNA is filed under the name uncultured Glomeromycotina. RNAcentral's name for it is "SSU rRNA". It matches the Rfam family "Eukaryotic small subunit ribosomal RNA", at positions 548 to 1098 of the family's 1831-position model. Lineage: Eukaryota; Fungi; Glomeromycota. The record is from RNAcentral.
UUGGAGGGCAAGUCUGGUGCCAGCAGCCGCGGUAAUUCCAGCUCCAAUAGCGUAUAUUAAAGUUGUUGCAGUUAAAAAGCUCGUAGUUGAAUUUCGGGAUCAGAGUGUCGGUCGUGCCUCGGUACGCACUGGUAUUAUUGGUUCCUACCUUCUGAAGAACCGCGAUGUCAUUAAUUUGGUGUCGUGGGGAAUCAGGACUGUUACUUUGAAAAAAUUAGAGUGUUUAAAGCAGGCUUACGCUUGAAUACAUUAGCAUGGAAUAAUGAAAUAGGACGUUUGAUUCUAUUUUGUUGGUAUCUAGGAUCACCGUAAUGAUUAAUAGGGAUAGUUGGGGGCAUUAGUAUUCAAUUGUCAGAGGUGAAAUUCUUGGAUUUAUUGAAGACUAACUACUGCGAAAGCAUUUGCCAAGGAUGUUUUCAUUAAUCAAGAACGAAAGUUAGGGGAUCGAAGACGAUCAGAUACCGUCGUAGUCUUAACCAUAAACUAUGCCGACUAGGGAUCGGACGAAGUUAAUUUUAUAAUGACGCGUUCGGCGCCUUACGGAAAC